UCAAUCAAUAAGAUCAAUCUCUUUCUCCAUAUUGUUCUUUAUAUUCCUUUUGCUAUUAGGCUAGUUUCACAACACGUUAUCAGCACGAAAGUGCUCUCUUCAAAACUCUAGUUUCUAAAGCGACAGUCCCAUGAUUUCAACCCGUUUUAUUCCGAAACCUUCGCUGGCCACUUUUUCAAAACCGUCUUCGCUCUACUUUGGCCAACUACCAGCCGAUGGAAUAACUUAUAUCUCCAAGUUAAAUUGCUUUUGAUGUCAAGCUUUGAUUCCAUAACUGCUUCUUCGAGUCACUAACAGCCCGAUCGACGAAUGGGUGCUUUCACGAGAUACAUAAGGUAACACUUAUCCGAAAGGUAACCUUCAUAUAAAAGCUUUACAUUCUUUUGAUUUGCAAUAGUGAGAAGAUAGACUACAUGGGUUAUGGACUUUAAUUCCAUCUCCAUUUCCCACCAAUAUUUCAUAUUAAAUUAUUUAUAUAUUUAAGAGUUUUAAUCUAUCACUUUAUAUACAGUUUAUUUUUUUAUUGGGAUACGAUGGUGGUAAAGAACCAAAAUUUAGGUGAUCAACUGCUUAAAAUAUAUUAAUAAGGAUAUUUGUUAAUAAAUUGAAUAUAUUAAUAAGGAUAUUUGUUAAUAAAUUGAAAAUAUAUUUGAAUUGAAUAAAUCAAUGAGUUAAUUUAAAACAAGUGAAACGGGUUUUGGUCGAAAAUAGUUAUGGACGUAUUGAUUGUAUAUAUUACAAUAUGGGUGGAUAUAGAUUUGUAAUUAUAUUUUAUCAAUCCCUCAAGUACAUCUAGAAGAUGAUGUUGGGAUAUUUUAGUAUGGACAUAGGUGAACCUUAAAAUAUGUUAAAGGUUGUUAAGUCACUUGUUAUAAGAAAUGCCUAUUAUCAUCUCCUACCAAAGCAAAGAUUCUCAUUCUAGAAGUACCAUCGUUAAAUGCAUAUGUGCAUUACUAUGUUUUGCUAGCUAUGUAUGCUUAUAAUAUAUUUCACUUGAGCUUAUUGUCAUGAUAUAGCCUUAGUCAAGCGAAGAGACAUUAGAGGAGUUCAAAGAAAUGUUUCAGGUAUAAAUGAUAUUUGAUUAUAUUUUACUAACCCAUCAAAACAAGCUUGGUUAGUCUUGUAGAUGCAGGAAUGUAACAAAACACGGUCGUGGACAUAUGAUAUUUUUGAAAGGAGGCACCUAAAGUCUCGUUAGAAGAUUAUACAACAUUACUCAACAUAAAGGAUUGCACAUUAAGGGAUCAAGCGACAAAUCAUUGGCUACAAAAGCUUUGAUCAACUUUCAAUGAAGAUGAACACACGUCACUUAAAGGAUACAUGUUAAAAAGAGGGGCAUAAUUAUUCAAGUUGCACCUUUUUUCCCUUGACUAAGUUUUGUCCCAUUGGGUUUUCUUAGUAAGGUUUUUAAUGAUGCAACAUACCUGAUCCAGAAGUAUCAGGGGGAGAUAAUGCGCAUUACACUCUGCACUCUUUUUCCCUUAGCUAUGGUUUUGUCCCACCGGGUUUUCCUAGCAAGGUUUUUAACGAUGCGGCAUCAAGCGCAUUAUGUUGAUAACCAAUGAGGAAUGUUAUGAAUAUAAUUAUUAUUAAUGUGGUUAUUAACACCUAAAAUAGACUAGGCUUGUUCCAUAAGUUUUCCUCUAUUAUAUAUAGUCUCUUGUAUCUGUUAUAAUAUACACCUCAAUCAAUAAGGUUAAUCUCUU
Molecule: long non-coding RNA, 1706 nt
Filed under: Helianthus annuus (common sunflower)
Lineage: Eukaryota; Viridiplantae; Streptophyta; Magnoliopsida; Asterales; Asteraceae
Description: hypothetical non coding rna
Source: RNAcentral